AGUGAACGCUGGCGGUAGGCCUAACACAUGCAAGUCGAACGGCAGCACAGUAAGAGCUUGCUCUUACGGGUGGCGAGUGGCGGACGGGUGAGGAAUACAGCGGAAUCUACUUUUUCGCGGGGGAUAACGUAGGUAAACUUACGCUAAUACCGCAUCCGACCUACGGGUGAAAGCAGGGGCUCUUCGGACCUUGCGCGAUUGCAUGAGCCGAUGUCGGAUUGGCUAGUUGGCGGGGUAAAGGCCCACCACGGCGACGAUCCGUAGCUGGUCUGAGAGGAUGGUCAGCCACACUGGAACUGAGCCACGGUCCAGACUCCUACGGGAGGCAGCAGUGGGGAAUAUUGGACAAUGGGCGCAAGCCUGAUCCAGCCAUGCCGCGUGGGUGAAGAAGGCCUUCGGGUUGUAAAGCCCUUUUGUUGGGAAAGAAAAGCAGCAGGUUAAUACCCCGCUGUUCUGACGGUACCCAAAGAAUAAGCACCGGCUAACUUCGUG
This 492-nucleotide ribosomal RNA is filed under the name uncultured bacterium. RNAcentral's name for it is "partial 16S ribosomal RNA". It matches the Rfam family "Bacterial small subunit ribosomal RNA", at positions 29 to 507 of the family's 1533-position model. The record is from RNAcentral.